Molecule: long non-coding RNA, 683 nt
Filed under: Olea europaea subsp. europaea
Lineage: Eukaryota; Viridiplantae; Streptophyta; Magnoliopsida; Lamiales; Oleaceae
Source: RNAcentral
AUGUUAGGAUUUAUGGGCUACACUUGACGUUUUAUUCCUAACUAAGACAUUGCCAAAUAGGAUUUGCUUUUUGGAGAAAUGUUUAAUUUUAGGACGGACCCGGGAAAAGACUUAGAAGUGAAUCUAAGUGAUUUUAGUAUAAUUUUGAAGAGUCCUACACAUAAUGAGAAGAAAUUUGAUGAUGAGGAUUUGGCUAUCAUCUUAUUGAAUUUUCUGCCUGACUCUUACAAGGAUGUGAGAAAUGCAAUAAAAUACUCGAGGGACAAACUAUCACAAGCAAUUGUAAUAGAUGCAUUAAUAUCAAGAGAUUUAGAAGUUAAAAAGGAAUCAAGAGAUUUAAGGGAAGAGAGUAUGUUUGUAAGAGGGAGAAGUGAAAAAAGAGAGAAUGACUUUCAGGUAAGGAAAGUAAAAGGAAAAUCAAAUGGGGGAUCUAAAUCCAAAGAUAAACGUAACAAGAAGUAUUACGAUUGUAGGGAGCUAGGGCACUUUAAUAGGGAUUGCUUUGAGUAGAAAAGGGAAAAAAAAUUAUCAAAAUGAUACGGAAUUGAACAAUGAUGCUGUUGGUAAUGAAUCGGACAGCUUGCAUGAUUGUGUCUUGUGAAAACAUUAGUUAAGAUUGGAUUUUAGAUUCAGGGUGUAUAUCCCAUAUGAGUUACAUUAGGUCAUGGUUUUAUAAAUAUAGG